RNAcentral lists this ribosomal RNA (540 nucleotides) under uncultured bacterium. RNAcentral's name for it is "bacterial SSU rRNA". It matches the Rfam family "Bacterial small subunit ribosomal RNA", at positions 28 to 526 of the family's 1533-position model. The record is from RNAcentral.
GAUGAACGCUGGCGGCAUGCCUAAGACAUGCAAGUCGAACGAAGGGACCCAACGAUUAUGGAGUACUUGUACAAAGUAAGAGAUGGAAUUUUCCCUUAGUGGCGAACGGGUGAGUAACGGGUAGGCAACCUACCCUCAAGACGGGGAUACCAGUUGGAAACGACUGUUAAUACCGGAUAGGAUACAAUAUCGCAUGAGAAAGUAUUUAAAGGAGCGUAUGCUCCACUUGAGGAUGGGCCUGCUUUGUAUUAGCUAGUUGGUAAGGUAACGGCUUACCAAGGCGACGAUGCAUAGCCGAGCUGAGAGGCUGAUCGGCCACACUGGAACUGAGACACGGUCCAGACUCCUACGGGAGGCAGCAGUUAGGGAUAUUGGGCAAUGGAGGAAACUCUGACCCAGCAAUGCCGCGUGAGUGAAGAAGUAUUUCGGUAUGUAAAACUCUGUUGUAUGAGAAGAAAGAACUAGUAGGAAAUGGCUAGUAGAUGACGGUAUCAUACGAGGAAGUCACGGCUAACUACGUGCCAGCCGCCGCCGUAACAC